RNAcentral lists this ribosomal RNA (469 nucleotides) under Abiotrophia defectiva. RNAcentral's name for it is "bacterial SSU rRNA". It matches the Rfam family "Bacterial small subunit ribosomal RNA", at positions 28 to 474 of the family's 1533-position model. Lineage: Bacteria; Bacillati; Bacillota; Bacilli; Lactobacillales; Aerococcaceae. The record is from RNAcentral.
GACGAACGCUGGCGGCGUGCCUAAUACAUGCAAGUCGAACGAACCGCGACUAAGUGCUUGCACUAAGUCAAGGUGAGUGGCGAACGGGUGAGUAACACGUGGGUAACCUACCUCAUAGUGGGGGAUAACAGUCGGAAACGACUGCUAAUACCGCAUAGGACAUAGGAUCACAUGAUCCAGUGAGGAAAGGUGGCGCAAGCUAUCGCUAAGAGAUGGACCCGCGGUGCAUUAGCUAGUUGGUAGGGUAAAGGCCUACCAAGGCGAUGAUGCAUAGCCGACCUGAGAGGGUGAUCGGCCACAUUGGGACUGAGACACGGCCCAAACUCCUACGGGAGGCAGCAGUAGGGAAUCUUCCGCAAUGGACGCAAGUCUGACGGAGCAACGCCGCGUGAGUGAAGAAGGUCUUCGGAUCGUAAAGCUCUGUUGUUAGAGAAGAACAGCGCAUAGAGUAACUGCUAUGCGUGUGACG